AUAAGAAUUAUUGGCCUUUGGUAACGUGUUAGCUGUUUCUAUGCUUAUACAUGAUAUUAUAAGAGUGAAGGGAGUGUUAUAGGCUCAUCAUCUGUGGGGUUUAAUACCUUAGCAUCCGAAGAGAAUAUAUUCUUUGAAAUUUAUAUUGAAAAAAGAAGUUAUGAGAUCCCGAUAUUCAGUAAAGAGUUUUGGACUGCAUCGAAAGAUGGUUUCAGUAAUAGAAAAUUAGGAGAGAUUAAUAAAGUGCCAGAAAUCUCGGUUAAACUUUGUUCUUCGAGUUAAUUUGUUUGUUUGGAUAAGUAGAAGUAAAAAAAAGAUAAAUCGGUAAUAAGUAUGUGGUUAAAUACAUCAUAUAUCUGAGAAUUUAGGUUCUUUUAAUCUUUAAUCUUACGAGGCUGAAUAUGCGACGAGGAUUUGAGACCCUCUUAGUAAAGUUGUUUUUGGAGCCAACGAGGACUACGAACUUUGGUUUAAAACUCAAAAAGGUUGGCGGCAUUUCAUAUCAGUUAGGGAAACUUGGCGGUUAAUUCGAUGAUCCCCGAUAUACUUCACCUUUAUUUUUCCUCUUAUACCGCCGUUGUAAUUCAUCUAUCUUGAAGAGAACAGAAUUAGGUGUGAACACCCUUCGUUUACGAAGGAGUGUGUGAAUUCAGGUAAACGUGAGGGCUGUAAAGGGCUUAGCUGAGUUACAGUUGUUUUUCAUUGUUGGAGGUUAUUUUGAAAAAGAAUAACAAAAAGCGAACUUGUUAGUAAGACUAAAUGAGAGAGUUGGUCUGAAUAGGGUUAUUGAAAUGCGUACAAACCGCCCGGCGCCCUUCAAUAAUCAACAGAAGGUAAGUCGUAACAAGGUAAUUGUAGUAGAAACUGCCGUUUGCAAUUUUU
Molecule: ribosomal RNA, 882 nt
Filed under: Mactra chinensis
Lineage: Eukaryota; Metazoa; Mollusca; Bivalvia; Venerida; Mactridae
Description: 12S ribosomal RNA
Source: RNAcentral